GUGGCCCGGGUCUUCCAGAAGGCUGUAGACCAGAGUAUCGAGAAGAAAAUUGUGUUAAGGAAUGGUACUGAGGCAUUUGACUCCUGGGAGAAGCCCCCUCUGCCUGUGUAUACUCAGUUCUAUUUCUUCAAUGUCACCAAUCCAGAGGAGAUCCUCAGAGGGGAGACCCCUCGGGUGGAAGAAGUGGGGCCAUACACCUACAGGGAACUCAGAAACAAAGCAAAUAUUCAAUUUGGAGAUAAUGGAACAACAAUAUCUGCUGUUAGCAACAAGGCCUAUGUUUUUGAACGAGACCAAUCUGUUGGAGACCCUAAAAUUGACUUAAUUAGAACAUUAAAUAUUCCUGUAUUGACUGUCAUAGAGUGGUCCCAGGUGCGCUUCCUCAGGGAGAUCAUCGAGGCCAUGUUGAAAGCCUAUCAGCAGAAGCUCUUUGUGACUCACACAGUUGACGAAUUGCUCUGGGGCUACAAAGAUGAAAUCUUGUCCCUUAUCCAUGUUUUCAGGCCCGAUAUCUCUCCCUAUUUUGGCCUAUUCUAUGAGGUAAGUAGAUUUUUCUUUUCAGAACCUCUUUUUUUAGCUGACAGUGGGUUGGGGCACCCCAAGCCAGAUUAACUUUGAGUUUCUUCUAGAAAUUGCCUAGAGUUAAGAUAUCUUGUAGAGUGUGUGAAAAAUGGAGUGUUUUUUGGAAA
This 689-nucleotide small RNA is filed under the name Pan troglodytes (chimpanzee). RNAcentral's name for it is "retained intron". The record is from RNAcentral. Lineage: Eukaryota; Metazoa; Chordata; Mammalia; Primates; Hominidae.